CGCCCUGUUGUCAUCCCCCGGAUGUACCGUCCAGUUUGCUUUUGUAACAACCCAGUUAUUAAUAUUGGAGGGCGAAGACAACAGCGUUUACCCGCAACCGACGAGCUUAUCGCUCCAAUAGAUAAAGAAACAACCAUGGUCUGACUGCUAAUUAAAGCAACCAUCUACGUGGUGAGGAAGAUCCGGGCUUCCAUUGCUGAGGGAGAGCAACUGGAAAAGCCCAUCAUAACACCAUGUAGUGCUAUUGCUGAAAUGAGAGCGGGACAUGAGUCGAGAGGAAACGCCCCAGCGGCAGCGCUGAUCUCCGGACCGGAUGAUGGUGUCAGCGGAGCAGCGGGCCCAGGGACGUCCUCAGAGAGAGCUGCGCAGAAAUGUGGCUCCUCCUGACGUUAAAGAUCACGCUGGACACUGGACUAUGGACACCUUAAGGGGAAAACAUAAUUUGACAUUGUACUUUAGCAUUAUGGGACAAUAUAACACUUUGAUGAUUCCAUGUUUAUACAGAAUACAUACAAUAGUCAGCUUUAAUUUUUCCAAUAAGUAAAAACUGUACAUUCAUGGACAAUACAAAGAACAACAUUCCACUGCUGUCCAGUGUCCAUGCUGAAGUCGGUGAUAAAAGUCCAGCUCCCAGUGAUGCACACUGAGGCCUUUUUCACAGCAGAUGUUUUGACUUACCAAUGGACAAAAGCGGUAGAGCUAAUUACUGAUGACUCUUUCCCAUUGAGAGUUACACACAAUACUACAGGGACCUGAAUGUAAUGGAGACAUUCAUGUUGUUUUAUGCAUUUGGUUAGUCAACAUUACAUUUUCUGUGAAAAGGGCCUGUAUUUAUGUACUGCAGUGUUUGAAGGCCAACUCACCAACCUCUAUCCAGGGGCUGAGUGGGCCUGAUGUUUCUGCUGCUGAAUCAAUAAAUUAAAAGACAAAGACGAUCAACAA
Molecule: long non-coding RNA, 942 nt
Organism: Acanthopagrus latus (yellowfin seabream)
Lineage: Eukaryota; Metazoa; Chordata; Actinopteri; Spariformes; Sparidae
Exons: 3
Source: RefSeq, a predicted model, not a curated record